RNAcentral lists this ribosomal RNA (874 nucleotides) under uncultured Massilia sp. Its description in RNAcentral is "bacterial SSU rRNA". It matches the Rfam family "Bacterial small subunit ribosomal RNA", at positions 8 to 880 of the family's 1533-position model. Lineage: Bacteria; Pseudomonadati; Pseudomonadota; Betaproteobacteria; Burkholderiales; Oxalobacteraceae. The record is from RNAcentral.
AGAGUUUGAUCCCGGCUCAGAUUGAACGCUGGCGGCAUGCUUUACACAUGCAAGUCGAACGGCAGCGCGGGGCAACCUGGCGGCGAGUGGCGAACGGGUGAGUAAUAUAUCGGAACGUACCCAAGAGUGGGGGAUAACGUAGCGAAAGUUACGCUAAUACCGCAUACGAUCUAAGGAUGAAAGCAGGGGAUCUUCGGACCUUGUGCUCCUGGAGCGGCCGAUAUCUGAUUAGCUAGUUGGUGAGGUAAAGGCUCACCAAGGCCACGAUCAGUAGCUGGUCUGAGAGGACGACCAGCCACACUGGAACUGAGACACGGUCCAGACUCCUACGGGAGGCAGCAGUGGGGAAUUUUGGACAAUGGGCGAAAGCCUGAUCCAGCAAUGCCGCGUGAGUGAAGAAGGCCUUCGGGUUGUAAAGCUCUUUUGUCAGGGAAGAAACGGUGAGGGCUAAUAUCCUUCGCUAAUGACGGUACCUGAAGAAUAAGCACCGGCUAACUACGUGCCAGCAGCCGCGGUAAUACGUAGGGUGCAAGCGUUAAUCGGAAUUACUGGGCGUAAAGCGUGCGCAGGCGGUUUUGUAAGUCUGACGUGAAAUCCCCGGGCUCAACCUGGGAAUUGCGUUGGAGACUGCAAGGCUAGAAUCUGGCAGAGGGGGGUAGAAUUCCACGUGUAGCAGUGAAAUGCGUAGAGAUGUGGAGGAACACCGAUGGCGAAGGCAGCCCCCUGGGUCAAGAUUGACGCUCAUGCACGAAAGCGUGGGGAGCAAACAGGAUUAGAUACCCUGGUAGUCCACGCCCUAAACGAUGUCUACUAGUUGUCGGGUUUUAAUUAACUUGGUAACGCAGCUAACGCGUGAAGUAGACCGCCUGGGGAG